Molecule: long non-coding RNA, 496 nt
Filed under: Androctonus crassicauda
Lineage: Eukaryota; Metazoa; Arthropoda; Arachnida; Scorpiones; Buthidae
Source: RNAcentral
AGGCAUCAAUUACAACAGCAACUUCACCAACUUCAGCAGCAACAACAGCAGCAGCAGCAGAGGCUACAACAAUUAUCUCAACAGCAAUCAGUGUCUCAGAGUAAUGCAAAUCCACAAUUAAGACAUCUGUUACAACAUCAAAUGCAACAGAUGCGACAACAGCAGCAACAACAACAGCUUCUAAUGCAACCAAAUAUUCGUUCACAACUACAAUCAGGUGUGUCUCAAAUAUCUUUAACUGCUCCUGUUGGUCAGCAACAACAACAACAACCUCCUCAACAGCAACAACAGCAGCAGCAGCAGCAACAGCAGCAGCAACAACAAGCUUGGGAUGAUUCGAGUUUGCUUGAUUUUUAAACAACAAUGAAUUUUUAUAAUAUUUAACAAAUUGAUGCAACAAUAGUUGUAAAAAUAAUAAAUUAUGAAAGAAAUUUUUCAAUAUAUCAUUUGUAAUUAUGAAUACAAUAUAAAUCACUAUAUCAAAUUUUUAAUUUAC